RNAcentral lists this ribosomal RNA (254 nucleotides) under uncultured bacterium. Its description in RNAcentral is "partial 16S ribosomal RNA". It matches the Rfam family "Bacterial small subunit ribosomal RNA", at positions 524 to 776 of the family's 1533-position model. The record is from RNAcentral.
GACGAACCGUGCGAACGUUAUUCGGAAUCACUGGGCUUAAAGCGCGUGUAGGCGGGUUCGUACGUCCGUCGCUGAAAUCCCCCGGCUCAACCGGGGAACGGGCGUGGAUACGGCGGACCUGGAGGGGCGUAGGGGGACCUGGAACUUCCGGUGGAGCGGUGAAAUGCGUUGAGAUCGGAAGGAACGCCCGUGGCGAAAGCGAGGUCCUGGACGCCUACUGACGCUGAGACGCGAAAGCCAGGGGAGCGAACGGG